This 23-nucleotide small nuclear RNA is filed under the name Arabidopsis thaliana (thale cress). Its description in RNAcentral is "snRNA_06288". Lineage: Eukaryota; Viridiplantae; Streptophyta; Magnoliopsida; Brassicales; Brassicaceae. The record is from RNAcentral.
UAUUUUAGUAACCAAUCGUGUAG